RNAcentral lists this ribosomal RNA (377 nucleotides) under uncultured bacterium. RNAcentral's name for it is "partial 16S ribosomal RNA". It matches the Rfam family "Bacterial small subunit ribosomal RNA", at positions 338 to 732 of the family's 1533-position model. The record is from RNAcentral.
CCUACGGGAGGCAGCAGUGGGGAAUAUUGCACAAUGGGCGAAACCCUGAUCCAGCGACGCCGCGUGAGUGAAGAAGUAUUUCGGUAUGUAAAGCUCUAUCAGCAGGGAAGCAAAUGACGGUACCUGUUUAAGAAGCCCCGGCUAACUACGUGCCAGCAGCCGCGGUAAUACGUAGGGGGCAAGCGUUAUCCGGAUUUACUGGGUGUUAAUGGAGCGUUGACGGGAGCACAAGUCUGGAGUGAAAUGCCGGGGGUUAACCGCGGAACUUCCGUGGAAACUGUGCAGCUGGAGUGCAGGAGAGGUAAGCGGAAUGCGUAGUGUAGCGGUGAAAUGCGUAGAUAGUAGGAGGAACACCAGUGGCGAAGGCAGCUUACUGG